UACGUAGGGCGCAAGCGUUGUCCGGAAUUAUUGGGCGUAAAGAGCUCGUAGGCGGCCUGUCGCGUCUGCUGUGAAAUCCCGGGGCUCAACCCCGGGCCUGCAGUGGAUACGGGCUGGCUGGAGGCAGGCAGGGGAGAACGGAAUUCCUGGUGUAGCGGUGAAAUGCGCAGAUAUCAGGAGGAACACCGGUGGCGAAGGCGGUUCUCUGGGCAGUAACUGACGCUGAGGAGCGAAAGCGUGGGGAGCGAACAGG
RNAcentral lists this ribosomal RNA (253 nucleotides) under uncultured bacterium. RNAcentral's name for it is "partial 16S ribosomal RNA". It matches the Rfam family "Bacterial small subunit ribosomal RNA", at positions 524 to 776 of the family's 1533-position model. The record is from RNAcentral.